GAAUAUUGGUCAAUGGGCGAAAGCCUGAACCAGCAACGCCGCGUGAGGGAUGAAGGUCUAAGGAUCGUAAACCUCUGUUGGGAGGGACGAAUAGUUCCGUCGUAAGCGACGGGAUUUGACGGUACCUCCAUAGAAAGCCCCGGCUAACUCCGUGCCGGCAGCCGCGGUAACACGGGGGGGGCAAGCGUUGUCCGGAAUCAUUGGGCGUAAAGGGUGCGUAGGCGGAAUGGUAAGUCAGGAGUGAAAGACUCGCGCUUAACGCGGGUUCUGCUUUUGAUACUGCCAUUCUUGAGUGCGGAAGAGGGAAGUGGAAUUCCCGGUGUAGCGGUGAAAUGCGUAGAUAUCGGGAAGAACACCGGUAGCGAAAGCGGCUUCCUAGUCCGUAACUGACGCUGAGGCACGAAAGCGUGGGUAGCAAACAGG
RNAcentral lists this ribosomal RNA (423 nucleotides) under uncultured bacterium. Its description in RNAcentral is "bacterial SSU rRNA". It matches the Rfam family "Bacterial small subunit ribosomal RNA", at positions 359 to 776 of the family's 1533-position model. The record is from RNAcentral.